This 229-nucleotide unclassified non-coding RNA is filed under the name Hevea brasiliensis (rubber tree). Lineage: Eukaryota; Viridiplantae; Streptophyta; Magnoliopsida; Malpighiales; Euphorbiaceae. The record is from RNAcentral.
GUAGUCCAUGUUACCGGGCAUUCCUCCAGGUGCAGCCCCAGGCAUGCCUCCGGGCAUUCCUCCAGGUGCAGACCCAGGCAUACCCCCUGGAAAGCCUCCGGGCAUGCCACCUGGAAAGCCUCCAGGCAUGCCACCAGGAAAACCUCCGGGCAUGCCACCAGGAAAUCCGGGCAUGCCACCAGGAAAGCCUCCGGGCAUGCCACCAGGAAAGCCUCCGGGCAUGCCACCA